This 253-nucleotide ribosomal RNA is filed under the name uncultured bacterium. Its description in RNAcentral is "partial 16S ribosomal RNA". It matches the Rfam family "Bacterial small subunit ribosomal RNA", at positions 524 to 776 of the family's 1533-position model. The record is from RNAcentral.
UACGGAGGGUGCAAGCGUUAUCCGGAUUUACUGGGUUUAAAGGGUGCGUAGGUGGGUCUGUAAGUCAGUGGUGAAAUCUCCGAGCUUAACUCGGAAACUGCCAUUGAUACUAUAGGUCUUGAAUUAUCUGGAGGUAAGCGGAAUAUGUCAUGUAGCGGUGAAAUGCUUAGAUAUGACAUAGAACACCAAUUGCGAAGGCAGCUUACUACGGAUAUAUUGACACUGAGGCACGAAGGCGUGGGGAUCAAACAGG